AGUUGUGGUUUUUCACCUUUGGCAGGCCGGGGAGCGCAAAGGAGAGGCCUCAGGUCUGGUGUCGCCCCAGACUCACAAGGACGAUGGACCCUGGGCCUGAGUAGGAGGGGAUGGUCAGUCCGAAGAUGUACUUGAGCACCGAGAUCAGAAUCUGCAGGCCGGCAGCCGUCAUGAAGCCCCGGAUAAAGGACUCAGACAGCACCUCUCUAUAUUGCCCAGGCUGGCCUCCACUUGCAAAUCUCCUGCCUCAGCCUCCUAAGUAGCUGGGAUUCCAGGUGAUGCCACCAUGCCCAGCUGGGCGUUUCAUCUCUAACACACUUGGGGCCAGGUCUUCUCCUCCCAUACUUGGUCCCCACACCAACCCCCGUCUUCACUCCAAGACCGCAAGACAUACAGAAGAAUGCGAAGACCUCUACAGUGAACCCUGUGGGUUCACAACCAGCAGGCUGCUACUAAUGUCCUGUCACGUGCAUCAUGACAUCACGAGUCUGUCCCACCGUCCGCCCCUCUGUCUCUCCACGAGUCCUCCAAUUCAGGGCAGUGUUUUGGACCAAGGUGCAGCCAGCAGUGCCCGUGGGGGCCAACUCUCCCAUGCUGUAUCAUUAACAGGAGUUCACGUUUCUCGCAGCUAUUUUACUUCUUCUGAGACAGGUUUUGCCUGUGGUGGGUGCACAACAUGCGUCAGCUGUGGUCGUGGUGUGCGCCCUGGCACAUUCCCACACCUGUGCCACUGGGAGGCGGACCUAGCUCCCUGCAGAUCUUUUUCUACCUCAGAGUUAGUUUUGCUCGUUCUUUAACUCCACUCCUGUGAAUGAAGUCGUGCAGUGUGUACUCUUGUGAAGGUCUCUCUCCCGCUGCAUAAACGACUCCUGCGUUCUUUGGCCUGCUCCGUCUCCAACCUGGCCAGUUCACCCCUCCUUAGGCAAUCUGGUGGUCCCCGCUCUCAGGAGGUCACCAUAUUGAUGCCGAACUUAGUGCGGACAUAGUGCACUGCAGGCCAGAACUCCUGGACUCCAGCGACCCUCUGGCCUCAGCCUCCCGAGUAGCUGGGGCUACAGGCUUGUGCCACCACGCCCGGCUCCUGCGUUCUUUGGAAAAGAAUCUGCUUCACAUCGUGCCAGACUUCUUUUUAGCCAUCAAACAACAUGUCCCCAAAUCUAAUCUUCGUUAUAUCCAGAGGAGCCAGGCUCACAGGGCAGGGUCUGCACCCCAGGGUGCCCAUUCUGUUUGUCCUUCGUCAGCCAAAUGUUAACCUGGCACGGGGUCAGGCGCGCCUGUGAGAUGUGCAGUUCCUCAGCCUCCUGCUUCCUCUUUCUGUGCUGAGGUCCCUCUCGGCCCCCCCUUCCAACUCCAGCGCUCGGGGCUCUGCUUCUUCAUGCCCUCCCCACCCCCUCGGUGGGCAGGAUCUGAUAAGGAACCGUUUACACGCGGUAGCUGAUAGUCCGGUUACACUGUAACUGGACCGCCCUCCACCUGGCCCGUGCUGCCUCUCUGGGGUAUUGACUUGUUCUGCUUUUAUCUCUGAGUGGGGCCCGAUAGGCUCUGUUCCUCUCAGACUUCCACUGAGGCCCCCUAAGGACAGGGAGCAUGAACACAUCCCCAUCCUGCUCAGGCGAUGCUCUAUUUUCCUUCAAACAGAUUGUCAUGGAUGUUUUCAUGGGGGAGAUUGAACCCAGGGGUGCUCUAUCAUUUCCAGCUACAUUUCCAGCUGUUUUUAUUUUUUAUUUUGAGAUGAGCUCUCAUUAAGUCACUAGACUGUAGGCUGGCCUCAAAGUUGCAAUCCCCUGCUUCAGACUCUCAUAUAGCUGGGCUAGCCACUGUGGGGUGUCAAAGAUUUUUAUUUAUCAUUAGACUCAACCCGUAGAUAAAGUACAGAAGGCUUAGACCCACGAUGCUAUCCAAGAGAGACGCACCCCAAGGAGAGCGGCUAUCUAGAGCUAACACAUUGUAAUAACAGAGCAGCUAAGAACCAAGUAAAUAAGCGCACUGUACACAUACAUAUUGGGUGACCCAAAGACAGCUACCAGAAGACCCAAAUUACCAAACAUGAGGAGGCCAGAGAGGGCAGGGGGACCGGCUUCAAUGAAGGUCACUGAAGGUCACUGAAGGAUUGUAGGUUACCCAUGAGUGAUGCCAUGGGGUCCCCAUGUCCACCUGGCCAAGUUUACCUGUCACAGAACAGCGGCCUCCCCUUCCUGGGUCCCCCAAGUCCGGGAGGAAAAGCCAGUUUGUAGGGUUCUGCUUCCCUUGGUGUAGGGUCCCAGCCUGACACAGUGUGCCCUAGGUUGGGGGACAUAGCCUUUCACAAGCAUUUGGGGCACUGGUAGCAAAUGAGAAAAGGCGUGUGGGAUGCGAGGAACCUAGAAAAUCACUCUUGGCCCAUUCUGCUGGCCCCAAAGGGGAGCCAGGUUGGCCCUUUGUCCAGAGUUUGAUUGUAGGGGGUCCAGCCUUCUCGUGGUCUCUGCUCUGGGGAUGCUGGCUGAGCCGUGGAAGCUUUCUUCUGAAACAACUCGGAGUGGAGAGGUCCGGCUUCCUCCCUGGGCAAGAGGCCACCCGGAACGGCACAGAGCAGCCUCCCUUCCCACACCUGCUGCUCACCUGCAGGCCUUUCCCCCAGCCCCAACCUCACCUUGAGCACACGUGGGUUCCUCCAGCCUGGCUCUACUUGAGAACCUCCUGGAGGAGCUGAAGAACAAAUAUGCAGAAUCUUAGGCCCUGUCCCUGGAUAUUUAGUGCCACUGUGUCUUUGUGGGACAGUCACGUGAGCUUUGUAAAAGCUCCUGAGAUGGCUCGAGCAUGCGAUGAGGCGUGGGAGGCCCAGCCUUGCCCCAGUCCUGGCUGCUUUCCCCACCUCCCCUCCCAGCCUCCCAGUAUUCUUAGGAAGUGGGUCAAGUUGUGGACCAGCUCCUUACGGGACCCUAGUGCAGCCCCAGCUAAGUUCUUCCUCUGAACACCAGGCUCCUGCCUUCCCUCUUCCCCUCCCCCUUCUUUGCCUUGAUUCUCUAGUCUCUAAGGUGAGGAGGGGUGUCGGUGACAUAACCAGACAGCACCCCAGCCCUUCCCAAGCCCCAUCUCCUUUCUAAGCUUGUGUAAAGCAGUGGAACCAGUGAUACCAUCUCAGACUGUGACCUCCACAAAGGAAAACAUGUGCCAAGAAUCCGCAUGGAAGUGUGGGGACGUAACCCUCCUAACAGUUCCAGGGCAUCUUUGUAGGGCAAAACUAAAGAAAGAAAAAAACCCCAGCUAUAGUAAGUGGUGAACAGUGUCUAACCCCAGAAUAAAACUUCAGCAGCAGUGAAGGGCGAAGGAGAGGUGAUUCUGGAUUGGAGACACUGCUGUAGCUUCUCAGAUUGCAGCCGCUGCCUGCCGAGCGGCUGGAGGCAGAAGAAACACAUCUGAGCUACAGCUUGGUAGCUACCUCCUCCUUCUCCAGCAAGGACAAAUAAAGGAUUUUCUGUAGAAAAAAAUCACUGGAGUCUAUGGAAAACUCACUUGAAAAGCCAGUAACAUUAUAUAUGUGACUCUUCUGCAAAUGAUCUUGUUCCUAGAACUUCCGGCCUGUCGUUCGCCACCAGUCUGGUUCCGAUCCAGGCCAGGGUGUGAGAUGGUGGCAAAUCAGUGCCCAGAGCCCAGAGUCUGGGACUCCCUAAUGCUGCCUGCGAGACCCUCCUUAGUGGGGCUCUCCCAAAGAAGGCGGGAGCUUAGCCAGGGCAGGGAGAGGGUGGCAGAACCCCAAAGCCUGCUUCCUCCCGGAGCCCUAGCUGGACGCAUCAGCCUGAGCUGACAGACCCUCCUGAGCUGCCCUGCUGCCUCGAGAAGGGAGCUCCCAGUCAGCCACUGUGCCUGGAGGCGGAGCCAGACCCGCUGCUCCUCUGGGGACUGUGACAGCGCCUCGCCUUUUCUCCUCACGACCCCCUUCCAAGUUCUUGCUCCCAGACACCACACUUUGUAAGGAUGCAGCAUUCAGAGGAAGAACUCUUUCCUUCCUACAUUUUCUUCCUGCUUCUGAAUGCAAUUAUUGCUCACUCUGAAAAUUCAAAUAAAAUAGUAAUGUGGAAAUGCCAAA
Non-coding RNA from Heterocephalus glaber (naked mole-rat), 4066 nucleotides. NCBI's taxonomy places the organism in Eukaryota, Metazoa, Chordata, Mammalia, Rodentia, Bathyergidae. The record is from RefSeq and is a predicted model, not a curated record.